Molecule: long non-coding RNA, 2583 nt
Filed under: Equus caballus (horse)
Lineage: Eukaryota; Metazoa; Chordata; Mammalia; Perissodactyla; Equidae
Description: lncRNA (ENSECAG00000051990.1)
Source: RNAcentral
ACAGUGUCUGUGGGUCAAGAAUUCAGAGUAGCGCAGCUGAGUGGCCAUGGCUCAGAGUCCCUCAGGAGUUUGCAGUCAAGGCCUUAGAUGGAGCUGCAAUCAUCUGAAGGUGUGACUCGAGAUGGAGGGCCUGCUUCCAGUGCAGAUGGAGUGGCUCACUGACAUGGCUGAAUCCGGCCAACUUCCCAGCACAUAGUAGGUUCUUAGUAAAUGUUUAGUGAGCACACGAACAAUGAAUAAUAUGUGACUCUGAGCAGUAAGGGGAGCCAAAGUCCUCGACAGUUAUCAACAGAUCAUAUUGAAUGGAGUGGACCUGAAGAAGACAAACUCAGUUCUCAGGAGGGAGUUACUGCAGGGCACCAACUGGAGUGAACUGGAUUGAAGAGCUUCAACUGUGCAGAUCAUGUUCCAGGCCAAGCUGACUCCAAUUCCCAAGGCUUCAGAACCUCUAGUGAAAACCUCCUCUGCACUCAGAGCUGGACCAGCCCCACAGGUGGUUUCACAAAAAACAUUGUCAAGAGGCAUAGGUUCUGCAGGCUUCCCUGGUCUACUCGGAAAUAUCUGAACCACAGGACAACAACAUUUACAGCAAAGUUACAAGAAGUUUGAAUCAAGAGAAAACUCACAUGGUAUACAUGUCGUAUAGUAAGGAACGUUUCAACAGCAAGCAUCAAAAAAGUUUUACUGUGGCCUCAACAAAUAGGACUUUAUUUUUCUCACAUAGCAAGAAUUCUUCAGGGAGGCAAAUGCUCAUGUCUGUCUAGCAGCUCAACAAUGUCAGCGACAGCGACUCUGAAGUCCUUUCUCUCCUUUAUAAGACAGUUGCCCCCAGCUUCUGACAACACAUCCCCACUUAAGACAGAAAGAAGAAAAGAAGGGGAAAGGAGUAAAGAAGCCAUAUUUUGUCCAUUUUAUUAGGAAAGCAAAAGUUUUUCCAGAAUCCCAAUCCCCAGCCCCAGAAUCACCCCCCAAAGCCCGCACCCCUCCCCAAUCCCUACUCCACGGCAGCCUUCUGUUUCUCUCUCAUGUCUGCCCUAAGUUGCAGGGGAGAUUGUGAAAGUAAGCAUUUAGCUCUCCCAGCGGCUAUAGCAGAAGUAGGCGACUGGGAAUGGAUGUUGGGUUAACCGACUCGUGGUGUGCCCAUGUAUGAACUCUAAGUGAGAAGACAAUCUCAGUUUCAUUACCCUUUCACUUCAGCUGUCUUCCUUGAGACUUGGAUUCUCACUUUUCCCCACAGGCAGGCAGAACCUUGAGGGCACUGGUUCCUGUGCUCAGCUUCGCAGUUGCUGAGACCCCACUUGGUGCACUGAAUCUUGAGAGCAACCAAGAAUUCUUGUAACUCCUCGCCUCCUCAGUAUCUAUCACCAAGUCCUUGGUUGACCACUUCCCAUCUUCUAGCAGAUGCAGACCCUAAGCAGCUGAAACUUCUCUGGUCUUUUCUCAACCGGAGCCACUUGUGCCAUGAAAACUUCUCUGGAGGGACAGGAAUUCCACUACUUGUUUUAAUCACUUUUUCCUCUUUUCCCUUCUUGCUUGACCAGAGUAUCUGUGCCCCUUAGUACCACCAGGGGCAUACAGGGUGAAAGACGCGGCAACUGUUUCAUGUAGCCUAUUAAUAUAUGCAAAAUUUUAUCAAACAUACACAUGUGAAAGACAGGCAAAGGCAGAAAGGUAGCUUGUCUCCAUGAUAGGCUGCGGAGUUUAUUAAGUGGAAGCCCUCAGUGCACGUCAUUAGCUGAUUGGUUUGCCUGUAGUUCAUUUCAUCAGCUUUUUAAGACUCAGGCAGAGCCUCCAGCUAUUGUGGAUGCCUUCUGAAUAGAUUUAAGAAUCACUCCUUCCCAUAAUUGUUUAGGAAUGUUUUCAACUUGCUAUUACACAUUUGGGAAAUUUUUUACUUAAUGUAGCAGCUAAAAUAGUCACAAAAAUAUCAGAAGUCUUACAGUUACUGCAAAGAAAAAAAAAAUCACAGUAAUGAAGCUGUUUGCUCAAUACAAAAAUUAUCGCCUGGGUCUUCCUGGACUAGGGAGUAGGUAAUGAGCGAAAAUGUUUCCUCCACUUGGGUUUCACAACCUGCGAAGCCCCAGGAUGGGAAAUUUCUGUGAGCUCGCCUCUCACUUAUAGAAUUCAGGUGGAUAGUCUUGCGAGGGAUGGUGUGGUAAAUCAUCAGCACAUCAGUGCUGUCUUUAUCUCAACCUUGUCAUCCAAAGACAGGGACUGGCUCAGGAUAGAAUGAUGGGAGGAAGGGGGAAAUUGCGACCAAGGUCCCAUGGGCUUUAGAAAGCCCCUUUGCCUGCCUCGCUGCAGCCUGGAGCAGACCCUCAGGCUUCAGCCUGGUUGAGCAGGUCUCCAGCAGCCCAGCAACAUCACCAUUCUGAUCCCGGUGGACCCCCUAAGACACUCCCAGGGUUCUGCUGGACUUUUGUGAAAUGAUGCAUGACAGUACUGUGCAAAGAUAAAGCCCUUCGUAAAAGUCAAGUAUGUGCCUGGCAUGGGUGUUUAAUGAAUGAAUGAUGAAUGUUAUUACUCGAAUAUUAAUCUGGAUUAGACUUAAGAAUGUCUAUAAACUAAAAUUUAUUAGUUUUU